This is a long non-coding RNA of Carassius auratus (goldfish), 1355 nucleotides long. RefSeq lists it as uncharacterized. The record is from RefSeq and is a predicted model, not a curated record. NCBI's taxonomy places the organism in Eukaryota, Metazoa, Chordata, Actinopteri, Cypriniformes, Cyprinidae. The transcript has 2 exons.
AAAAAUUACUGAUGCAAAAAGUUGUACAAAUGAGGAAAUACAUGUUGGCUCAACAUAAUGGUUGUGUCAAAAAAGAAAAAUAUGUUUGGUCAAUGAUUGCAUGAUUUCCAUGAUUGUACUACAAAAUGUUCAUCAAGAGAAAAUAAAUAAUUAUGUUGAGAUAACUUUUAACGUUGCACAAAAAAUAUUAUGUUGGCCGAGCAAGAGAGAACAGCGUCAAUCGUCUGAGCAUGCGCAAAGGAGUUCUACCAGGCAGCGCUGCAGCAGGCUGGAGUCACGACAUUGCAUUGGUGAGUACUUUGUGCUGCGAGUUAAUGAGCAAAUUUAGGUUAAUAAUAUAUAGAUUGUCUAUCAACAAAGUUUGAAAUAGCUUUAUUGUGAGUACCUACAGUGAUUAGCAGUGCUGGAAAAUAACGUUUAACUCAUAAAGCUUAGCAUUCCUUUCCAACUGGCAUGUGAUUUAAAGUCGACCCUAACGGUUAUUAAGCAUGACAUGUUCCCGUUUAAUAUAUUUAAUGGUCAAUAUUUUCAAAUUGACUGUAACAGACAGCUAGUCUUGACAACUUGUGCUAUUGCUAUCACAGAGUGACUGAUAAUUUAGGCUAACGUUAGUUCUAACUGUUAGUGGCAUUCAAAGCACAUGUGCCUUUGUGUUAGCAGCUAGUACUUUGCACAAAGCCUCAAUUUGCAAGAGUGAAAUAACAUUUCAGUCUGAUAAAAAUAAAUAAAGAGUUGUGCUAACACGAAAAUUAAUAGCUGCUAAUGUUAUCAGAUUUGUAAGCUGUUUAACGUUAUCAGUUUUCCAAACGGUUACAUGUUUCCGUUUAAUAUUUUUAAUGGUCAAUAUUUUAAAAUUCCAUUUGCAUUUUGGCUUAUGAUAUAUAUGAUAAUUGAUUGUAACAGACAGCUAGUCUUGACAACUUGUGCUUUUGCUAUCACAGAGUGACUGAUAAUUUAGGCUAAGAAAUAAUUUGCUUUGCUUUUAAUUGUUUGCUUCUGAAUCUUUCAUUACCCACGGGUUUGUGCUGAAUUCUUCCGCAUCUACCGUAUUGACCUGAAGUCAGCAUUCCUGGCAUCGCUGGACAAUCACACCCAGGGGUACUUGGGUUUUAAAAGCAUGGGUCAACUUCUCCGAAGCAAGUUGGAACAUCUUGUCUGGAUCAUACAGAACAUACUACAGCCGUGUCUUGCAUUUUAUUCACCUUUGUUGUUUUUUUCUGAUUUUAAGUAUAAUAAAGACAUAACAGUGUAACAGUGUUCACCAGGUGUUGAUUGGAAAAAAUGGCUGAACUCUUUGAUGUUUUUCUGUUUUAUGAAAUCUUUGUUUAACAUUAAACUCUCACAAUUCAUGUGCA